This 29-nucleotide non-coding RNA is filed under the name Rattus norvegicus (Norway rat). The record is from RNAcentral. Lineage: Eukaryota; Metazoa; Chordata; Mammalia; Rodentia; Muridae.
UGUUCUUCCAGUGGACCUGAGUUCAGUUC